AUCCACUUAAUAUAUAAGUAUAUUUGACUUCCAAUCAAAAAGACUGAUUAAAUCAGAAUGGAUA
Molecule: transfer RNA, 64 nt
Filed under: Grylloblatta sculleni
Lineage: Eukaryota; Metazoa; Arthropoda; Insecta; Grylloblattodea; Grylloblattidae
Description: tRNA-Gly
Source: RNAcentral